This is a long non-coding RNA of Thalassophryne amazonica, 2274 nucleotides long. RefSeq lists it as uncharacterized. NCBI's taxonomy places the organism in Eukaryota, Metazoa, Chordata, Actinopteri, Batrachoidiformes, Batrachoididae. The transcript is spliced from 3 exons. The record is from RefSeq and is a predicted model, not a curated record.
UCCCAGUGAGUGAGCGCCUUGUAUGGCAGCACCCCCACAUUGGGGUGAAUGUGAAUGUGAGGCAUUAUUUGCAGAGCGCUUUGAGCAUCUGAUGCCGAUUGAAAAACGCUAUAUAAAUGCAGUUCUUUUACCACUGACGUAGUGGCUACGUUGAUGCAAGGCCUUCCUUUCUGCUUAUAUCAGUAACGGCAGCGGGUAACGGCAAAUUUCUGCAUGGCUCUUGUGUUCAAUUGGUCUGUGCCGACGAGCAUGAAUUUUCUGAAAAAUUAACUGAAUUAUUAAUUAAAAAGCAGUGGCACUGAAGAGACCUCCCCAAGGCGCACGCCUGGACAAAUGUAUGGGCAUCCUGGGCUGCCAAGACAACAGGAUCUCCCUCUCGGCCACACUGAUGUGACCCAAAGGAGCGUAGAACGAUACAUCUGGCACCAGCUAGGUUGCAGGAGCUGUCGGAAGGGAGUCAGUGGCGACGACCAACCGCCUUAGGUGCUCCACUAUGGAUUUUCUGUCUGGGUUUACUCCUGUAACCUUAUUCUCCUCGCAAAGAUAAUCCAUAAGGCAGUGGAGCUAUUUACCCAUAGCUGGGGCCCUGACAGGUGCGACCACUCUGGGCCGGAGUAGACCUAGGAGCACAGGACCAUGGGAACAUAGCACCCUAGGGACAGACAGUACCAGUCAAAACCUUUGACUAGUACUGUAGGUUAGUUGGAAACAUAAGAGCCUGGGAACAUAGGACCUUCGGUACAUGAGAUUGAUCUCUGUGGUACCAAAAAGCACUGACUGCAACUUUAUAGUUCACAGAACCAGCUCACACAAAGAAAGCCUGGGUAGGUAAAUUUUGCUUUGUAGUAUAACCCUUAAGUGGAAAAAUAAACAUAGACUUGUCCCUCUGACACUCCAACCAUUUCUUUAUUAUCUUAACCAAUGAGUCAUAUCAGUUUUGCCACUGCAUAAAGUUGUUCUGACCUAAUUGAAUAAUAAACGAGUGGGAUUUCCCAUCAAAGAAUUUUAAUGAGUGGUGAAAUUUUUAAACAACCACAAGGAAAUGCCUCAUACUGAGUUCCAUCAUCUUUUGGGGGGGUUAUAUGAACAUAAAUUCCCACCCUAAAGCUGUUGAGCUAAAAUAUUAAAAUCACCUUGUCUGCCAGCACAAAAGGUCUGGGCAUGGCUCCAUCAACUUCAUGGACAUUAACCAUGCACCAACUUUUGUUUCUUGCAGGGGUUAAGGUCAAACCUGACUGGCUGAAUUACAAGAAAAUGGAGCUAUUAACCAUCAUCUCAGUCAAAGGCAUUGGGUCUCUCAUAGCUUGCCAAUAACCUUGAAGCACAAUGAAAUCAUGCCAUCAAGAAGAAAACACUUCAUCCAAGAAUCCUCCAAAGAGGCUGAGUACCAAAGACAUACGGUUUUGACCUUGAGUCACUGGUUCACAUCUGUCUCACAACCAUACAAUAAGGAGUGUCAUUGUGGUAGUUCUUCAUACUGCUGUCGGCGCCACUCUUCAGGAGGAGUCGCACCAUGUCUGUAUGUCCUCGGCCCGAGGCGCUGUGCAGCGCCGUGUUGCCGCUGUAAGACUGGCCGUUCACAUCGCAGCAGCUCUGCAGCGCAAAAACAAGAUACCACUGAUGUUAAUCCUAAAGCAAGCACACGUGCAGGAGCAGUGAAAUGGAACACUAAGCCACAGAAAGACUGGUGAAACAUGGACGUCACGUUGGUCUCCUCCAACUGCUGGCGAAGGUCAAGUUGUUGUUUUCACACUCCAUGUGAUAACUCUGCUACUGCCUUCCAUCGGAGGGAAGUACACAUUGUGAAGGGGACUGGGGAAAGCCAUUUGCAGCCUCAUCUCUGGAAAAGAUGAAACCACAGGAUUGCACCAUGGAUGUUUGGAGGGCCAUGACAGGCGUGGUGCUGAAGGUUCAUCUAUUGCACUGUAGUCUUCAUGUCCAAGCCAGAGGUGGCUCAUGUGGGUGAGCCUUUGAAAUAAACUGUGGCUGUGUCCCAAUUCAGGGACUGCACCCUUCUAAGGCUGUGUCCCAUAAAAAUCUGGCCAUCAGAGACAUAGGAAGCCAAACCUGUUCUGAAAUGAGAUGGUCUAGCACAAGGAGCAUUUGUGAUUACUUCAUUUACUUUUCCCGUCCCUAGUCCCUGUUGCUUAGAAACCUUUAUAUUUGUAUGCGACAAGCUACACUGUAAAAUUCAAUGAGUUAGUUGAACUCAAAUCAUUUGAGGAAACCGAUUGCCUUAAACCAUUUGAGUUUGCCAACUUAAAUAAAAUAAUU